UUACACUGGGAGGGACAGGGGCGGGGCUGGAGGAAGGUGGGGUGGGGCCUAUUGAGGAGCACAGAGACCUGCAGGCAUAGGAGCUGCCCUCCUUCCAAGAUGUGGCUUCUCCCGCUGGUCCUGACCUCCCUCGCCUCUUCUGCAACUUGGGCAGGGCAGCCAGCCUCGCCGCCUGUUGUGGACACUGCCCAGGGCCGAGUCCUGGGGAAGUACGUCAGCUUAGAAGGCCUGGCACAGCCGGUGGCCGUCUUCCUGGGAGUCCCUUUUGCCAAGCCCCCUCUCGGAUCCUUGAGGUUUGCUCCGCCGCAGCCUGCAGAACCAUGGAGCUUCGUGAAGAACACCACCUCCUACCCUCCCAUGUGCUGCCAAGAGCCAAUUGGGGGACAGAUGCUCUCAGAUCUAUUUACCAACAGAAAGGAGAGGCUCAUUCCGGAGUUUUCUGAAGACUGUCUCUACCUAAAUAUUUACACCCCUGCUGACCUGACAAAGAGGGGCAGACUGCCGGUGAUGGUGUGGAUCCACGGAGGAGGUCUGGUGGUGGGCGGGGCUUCCACCUAUGAUGGACUGGCCCUCGCUGCGCAUGAAAACGUGGUGGUGGUGGCCAUCCAGUACCGCCUGGGCAUCUGGGGAUUCUUCAGCACAGGGGACGAACACAGCCGGGGCAACUGGGGUCACUUGGACCAGGUGGCCGCACUGCACUGGGUCCAGGAGAACAUCGCCAACUUUGGAGGCGACCCAGGCUCUGUGACCAUCUUUGGAGGUCAGCAGGAGGGGAAGUGUCUCUGUUCUGGUGUUGUCUCCCUUGGCAAGAACCUCUUCCACCGGGCCAUCUCUGAGAGUGCGUGGCCUUACUGCUGGCCUGGUCAGGAAGGACAUGAAGGCUGCAGCUAAGCAAAUUGCUGUCCUUGCUGGGUGUAAAACCACCACCUCGGCUGUCUUUGUUCACUGCCUGCGCCAGAAGUCAGAGGACGAGCUCUUGGACUUAACGCUGAAGAUGGUAGGUACACCUGCUCUCGUGGCCACACAAGUGCCCUACCCUGUGAACAUGGCCCCAGACUUCAAUUCAGCUGACCCCUUGCCCUGGAAAAACCAUCUGAAACAGGGUUUCGCAAAUUUUCCUCUUGAUUUGCAUGGAGACCCCAGAGAGAGCCAUCCCUUCCUGCCCACUGUGGUGGAUGGAGUGCUGCUGCCCAAGAUGCCUGAAGAGAUUCUGGCUGAAAAGGAUUUCAACACUGUCCCCUACAUCGUGGGAAUCAACAAGCAAGAGUUUGGCUGGCUUCUGCCAACGAUGAUGGGCUUCCCCCUCUCUGAAGGCAAGCUGGACCAGAAGACGGCCACGUCACUCCUGUGGAAGUCCUACCCCAUCGCUAACAUCCCUGAGGAACUGACUCCAGUGGCCACUGACAAGUAUUUGGGGGGGACAGACGACCCCGUCAAAAAGAAAGACCUGUUCCUGGACUUGAUGGGGGAUGUGGUGUUUGGUGUCCCAUCUGUGACGGUGGCCCGUCAACACAGAGAUGCAGGAGCCCCCACCUACAUGUAUGAGUUUCAGUAUCGCCCAAGCUUCUCAUCGGACAAGAAACCCAAGACGGUGAUCGGGGACCACGGGGAUGAGAUCUUCUCCGUCUUUGGUUUUCCACUGUUAAAAGGCGAUGCCCCAGAAGAGGAGGUCAGUCUCAGCAAGAUGGUGAUGAAAUUCUGGGCCAACUUUGCUCGCAGUGGGAACCCCAAUGGGGAGGGGCUGCCCCAUUGGCCGAUGUACGACCAGGAAGAAGGGUACCUUCAGAUCGGCGUCAACACCCAGGCAGCCAAGAGGCUGAAAGGUGAAGAAGUGGCCUUCUGGAACGAUCUCCUGUCCAAGGAGGCAGCAAAGAAGCCACCCAAGAUAAAGCAUGCUGAGCUGUGAAGGGGAGGCUCGGCUGACCUUGAGGGCUUGUGGGACCGCAGGCAGGAGCAGUCUACCGAAGGCGUUGAUGGGCCAGGAGGUAUCUUCUUGUGGAGGCUGGGGAAUUAGCGGGUGGGAGUGGCGGAGAUCAGGGAGGGGGAAUUUCUGUAGCUGCGGCCUCAAUUUUAGAAAUAAAUGUUCUUUUGGAGACCAAGUCGGUGUCUCA
This is a non-coding RNA of Sus scrofa (pig), 2111 nucleotides long. The record is from RefSeq and is a predicted model, not a curated record. NCBI's taxonomy places the organism in Eukaryota, Metazoa, Chordata, Mammalia, Artiodactyla, Suidae.